GAAGACAAAACUUCUUGUUGUUCAUCAUGUCUCAAAUGUUCUUGGUGAGUGUUACUGUCUUAUGAUCUAAAUACAGUUACUAAAUGAAAGAGAAAAACAUCUUGAAGGAAUGAAAAUGAGAUCUAAAUUUGCUAUAAACUUGCUCUGACAGGCAUAAAUCAGAUUUCCAUGUUUUAUGCAUUCUUUAUGUAUUUGCAUGUAUCUAUUCUAUUUGCUUGCUAAUGUUAUUUCCAUGGGCUAUAUGCAUUUUAUAUAGCUGGGAUCAGUUUGUUUCACUUAUUAGAAGUGGUUUUCCGCACACUGAACAUAGAUUUACUUCCCGAGUUGAAUUUUUACGGAGUGUGAUGGUACAACCUGUUAAGAUAGAAAAAGAAAAAGUUCUAUUGAUUAUUCUCAAGCAAAACAAAUGAUCUAUGGCCACCCAAAUUCCUGCUUUCAGGUUAGAUACCUCAACUUUGGGGAGCCAUCUGCCUAGAUAACAUCCCUGGAACGGAUUUUCUUUUUGGGAGAGCUACUAGUUUCUUGUUUUGGUGAAUCUGAAUGAAAUCAUGAGAAAUCAAAAAUUGCUUGUGUUAGAGUUUGUUAACAUUGUUACGUUACAUAUUUGAGGUACUUAAGGCUCAAGUUACCAGGGUAUCUAUUUUCAUGUCAGUUCUAUGAAUUUUUAUUAUCAUUCUUGUGAUAUAAUCCCCAACCUUUGUGAAAAUUCUAGAUAAGACAUAAAUUUUGGUACUGACCACGUCAGUGGAGACCUAAAUGAAUAAGGCUCUGUUGAAUUGCUAGAUUUCGUUGCUGAAAUUUUUGACAUUGUUAAACUACUUAUUGUGUUCCAAAGCCAAACUGAAAAUUGCUUAUAACAGUUGCAUCUAUUCAUUGAUAUUUCAUCUUUUCUUCUUUUCUUUUUAUAAUUUUUUACCUCAGCUUGUGUUCUUCCAAUCAAUCCAAUUGUGAGUUGGGCACAUGAUGUUGGAGCCAAGGUGCUUGUCAAAGUGUUCCACACAUGGUGAUUGACGUUGGGGAACCUUAAUGCUGAUUUUCUGGUUGCUUCUUCACAUAAGGUUAAGUCCUUCCCAUAUGCAUCUAUAUUCUUAAAUCUUGUAAAUGGAUUUUUUAAGUUAAGAAAUAAACAUUCUUCAGAUGUGUGGGCCUACAGGCAUCGGAUUCUUAUAUGGUAAAAGUGAGCUCGUCUGCCAUGCCUCCUUUCUUAGGUAGGCUUGGUUUUUUCAAUAAUAAGCUUUUUCUGUNCUGUCCUUCUGAUCUUGAAGUAUUUAGGUUAGCUUCCCUCUUAGUCUCUUAUUCCUAUCAAUGGACCCGUCAAGCCUUUUCUGAUGUUAUUCUCGAGUUCCCUGAAUCAAAGGUGGUGGUGACAUGAUAGCUGACGUAUUUUUAGAUCAUUCUACCUUUAGCUGAACCUCCAUCAAGGUUAGUUGCUUCUAUACAGUUCGACCUACAUCAGGGGUAGAUAAAAGCAGAUAGAUGGCUCUCCACAUUUGCUUCCUUUGGGAAAUGGGAAUCUGAUAUUGAUUUAAAAUUGGAUAUUAAAACCUAAUCUGUGGGAAAUAAAAAAUAAAAAAAAAAUAUCUGGUUUGAUUUGAGAAUACAUUAUAUAUUUUAUUAUAAGUGAAGUUCAGUUUUAUUGCUCGCUGGUUAGUUUCUAUAACAGAGCACGCUAGAUUUCACGUGCUUCAGGGUGCACAUGAAAUCGCCUGUGAAUUCAUGAAAUUGUAGAAAUUAGCGGCUGGAAUAUUUAAGAAUUGUGUCCCUCUCUAACCUUGAAAUGGACAUAUAGCAUGAUUUCCAUCUAAUGCCCCUUACCUUCCAGUAACAGUGAUCUUUGGACAUCUUGCAAAAUGCAAACAUUAUUAUGUAAGAUAUCUUCCACAUUUAUGUUCAAUUGGCUAGAUAUUUGAUACAUAUUUAAUUCAGAAAAUCCUGGUUUCCAUAGUCAGUCCUUGAUUUAUUAUCAGCUUUAAUUUUUUUUAGAUGAUACUUUUUUGAAAUAGUUCAAUAGUUAUCUGUGUAUUAACCUUGUUCUUAGUAUGCUACCAAAAUAGUUUGCAUUUUGGCAUUAAUCAUUAGGGUCAUACUAAAAGUUAAUGAUGGGUAAGUCGGUUGUUUGAUAUUAGUUCUCAAGCCUUUUUUUUCUGAGCUACUUGUUGGCAUGAAUUCUGAUCUACAACUGGUAACAUGUCGUUCAUCUAAUAACCUAUUUUUGUACUAUAAAAUUUCAUCUUUUACCGCCUCGACCCUCUCUUAUCCACACCAAACAGGUUGAACAUUCGGUGUCUCCUUCAUAUAUUUAAUCUUUCUUUUAUUUUUAAGAUCCAAGGAUCUUACAUUAAACCUUCUCAAACCUUUAAUCUUUAUAAUUUGAGCAGCCUUUCUACAUCAAACUGAAUAAGUGGAUUUUGAUCUCUAUGUGGUGAUUUUCUUUCGUUUAUUCAUUGCCUCAUUAUCACUAAUCUUUCUUCUUGCAUUCUUGUUUGCUGAUGCAUAAUUCUUGUUAUAAUUUACUUUCCUGUGAUAUCAGAUUUGAGGCUGGAACGCCUGCUAUUGGGGAAGCAAUUGGUUUAGGAGCGGCAAUUGAUUAUUUAUCAGGCAUUGGAAUGCAAAAAA
This 2616-nucleotide long non-coding RNA is filed under the name Olea europaea subsp. europaea. Lineage: Eukaryota; Viridiplantae; Streptophyta; Magnoliopsida; Lamiales; Oleaceae. The record is from RNAcentral.